AUGAAUUGGUGGAAAGGCAGCAAUUGGACCAUCAGAUGCCUAUCUUGGCGUCCGUUUCAGUUGGUUGGUCCAAUGGAAUUAUGGAUUCGAGAUGCCAAGGCUAUGAAGAUUUCAGUGCCGAUAAGUUCAAGUAGCAAUGAUCUGUUUAUCUUCUAUUGUACGUUUUCAAUAUUUGUGGAAUAUGUGGUAAUGAGUAUUGGAUAGCAAUCAACACUAUUACAGUGAGAAAGAACUAAGUAUAACCGAAAUUCUUGUUCAUUCUAAUAUCACAUGUAAUCAUAAUCUAAAUUCUUGUUCAUUCUAAUAUUUAUCGAAUCGUGUGUUACUAUGUUCAUACACAUGCAGUUAUUGUAUUUGUUAAUCAUACAUUUUGGAUGCAUAUAGUCAAAUGCUAAACCCUUAAGAAUGGGGGAAAUGACAUUUUAUGAACCAUUUACGAGCUAAGUGUUUGUGAUAUUCUACAAUUCCCAACUCCCUCGUGAAUAGCUUCUAGAUCAUAAGUUCUUCUAUUAAGUUCUAUACUAAGCUACAUGGAACUUGUCUUUCAUCAUUGUCAACAUGGUAUGCUUUGUGACAAUUUAACUUUAUAAAUUUUGGUAUAAUUUUAAUUUCUUCCAUCUCUUGCUUCUACAAUCAUAGAUUGAAAAUGACAAAGGUAUGAAAUCUAUAUUCUUGAAAUGUAGGCAGUCUAUUUAGAUAUUUCAUUGACUAUAUAUAAUAUUAUUCUUCACUUCAUUAAUUUUGUAUACUUCAAGGAUCAAAGGGGAUUGUUAUCUUCACAAUAUUUCUCAGGUCAUAGAUGAGAUGACUAAUGGAGGAGCAGACUACUAUUUUGAAUGUGUUGGAAUGGCUUCUUUGGUCGAGGACUCAUAUGCUUGCUGCCGAAAGGUUUUAUUGUGUCUUAUUUGAAGUCCUCUCUCUUUCAUGCACCAACUCUCACACUCUGACUCAUCUACUCUUGGUGUAGGUU
RNAcentral lists this long non-coding RNA (970 nucleotides) under Olea europaea subsp. europaea. Lineage: Eukaryota; Viridiplantae; Streptophyta; Magnoliopsida; Lamiales; Oleaceae. The record is from RNAcentral.